CGUGUAGGCGGUCCGCUAAGUCUGAUGUGAAAGCCCGGGGCUCACCCCCGGAAGUGCAUUGGAAACUGGUGGACUAGAGUCCCGGAGAGGAGGGUGGAAUUCCUGGUGUAGCGGUGAAAUGCGUAGAUAUCAGGAGGAACACCGGUGGCGAAGGCGGCCCUCUGGACGGUGACUGACGCUAAGACGCGAAAGCGUGGGGAGCGAACAGGAUUAGAUACCCUGGUAGUCC
Molecule: ribosomal RNA, 229 nt
Filed under: uncultured bacterium
Lineage: Bacteria
Description: partial 16S ribosomal RNA
Rfam family: Bacterial small subunit ribosomal RNA
Source: RNAcentral